UCCGGCUUACACCGGCGGUCUCGUGUGAGUUCCCGACUUUACUCGCUGGUAACACACGACGAGGGUUGCGCUCGUUGGCGGACUUAACCGUACACCUCACGGCACGAGCUGACGACAGCCAUGCAACAUCUGUCUUUGGGUCCCCUUGUGGGGGAGGGCCUACUUUCAUAGGCUUACCCUCGAUGUCAAACCUGGGUAAGGUUCUUCGGUUAGUAUCGAAUUAAUCCACAUGCUCCACCGCUUGUGCGGGUCCCCGUCAAUUCAUUUGAGUUUCAACCUUGCGGCCGUAGUCCCCAGGCGGGAUGCUUAAUGCGUUAGCUGCGGCACAGGAGGGGUCGAUACCUCCUACGCCUAGCAUCCAUCGUUUAGGGCGUGGACUAC
RNAcentral lists this unclassified non-coding RNA (381 nucleotides) under uncultured Armatimonadota bacterium. RNAcentral describes it as "uncultured Armatimonadetes bacterium contains 16S-23S intergenic spacer region". Lineage: Bacteria; Bacillati; Armatimonadota. The record is from RNAcentral.